GUAGGUGAACCUGCGGAAGGAUCAUUACCGAGUUAGGGCCCGCUCACCCGGGCUCGACCUCCCAACCCCUUGUUUAAUUAUACCCAUUGUUGCUUCGGCGGGACGGUCUUCCCAGACCGCCGGAGGGUGCACACCGCCCCUCUGGAGAGUUUGCCCGCCGACGGCCCCCUUCAAAAAUCUUGAACCCAACCGUGACGCCUAAAUUGAUUUAUUGUAUAAUGUACAAAAAAUAAAACUUUCAACAACGGAUCUCUUGGUUCUG
Molecule: unclassified non-coding RNA, 262 nt
Filed under: rhizosphere metagenome
Description: partial ribosomal RNA internal transcribed spacer region
Source: RNAcentral